CAAAAAGGUGUUAAAUCGUUAUUUCACAUUACAUUUCGCUUCUUCGUUUACUUUUUGGGUAGAAGUCAGACCUUGAGGUUUACAUUUUGAAAACGGAACUUCGGCAUACAUCAUGAAGUCAACAAUCAUACUAAGCUACUUAGUUCUUCUUUCGUUUACUGUAAUGACAGUAUCGAGCCAAAUAGUUAUUCCCCAAGGUGACCCUUCUGUUUGGCCAGAAGAAGAAGUAACAGCAAUAUGGACUGCAAUGCUCCUGUUUUUCUUUUGUUCGUCAACAGAUAUGGUAAAUGGCCUCUUCAAUGGCAAUAGCCCAUCACCUAAUUAACAAGUCACUACUAGGAAGAGGAGCGUAUAUUUGUUGUUGAGGUUUUGAAAAGAACUAGAAGAGCGAGAUACAACUCUGCGUGUUACAAAUUAGUUAAAAUAAAAUAUUUUGUAACUUU
Mytilus californianus (California mussel) is the source of this 443-nucleotide long non-coding RNA. RefSeq lists it as uncharacterized. Lineage: Eukaryota; Metazoa; Mollusca; Bivalvia; Mytilida; Mytilidae. The transcript is spliced from 4 exons. The record is from RefSeq and is a predicted model, not a curated record.